GACGAACGCUGGCGGCGUGCUUAACACAUGCAAGUCGAGCGGGGAUUAGUGAGAACUUCGGUUGGAUCUAAUUCUAGCGGCGGACGGGUGAGUAACGCGUGAGCAAUCUGUCCCAGACAGGGGGAUAACACUUGGAAACAGGUGCUAAUACCGCAUAAGACCACGGAGUCGCAUGGCUUUGGGGUAAAAGAAAUUCGGUUUGGGGUGAGCUCGCGUCCGAUUAGCUAGUUGGUGAGGUAACGGCCCACCAAGGCGACGAUCGGUAGCCGACCUGAGAGGGUGAUCGGCCACAUUGGAACUGAGAAACGGUCCAGACUCCUACGGGAGGCAGCAGUGGGGAAUAUUGGGCAAUGGGCGAAAGCCUGACCCAGCGACGCCGCGUGAGGGAAGAAGGGUCUUCGGAUUGUAAACCUUAGUCAACAGGGAAGAAGCAAGUGACGGUACCUGUGGAGGAAGCCACGGCUAACUACGUG
This 473-nucleotide ribosomal RNA is filed under the name uncultured bacterium. Its description in RNAcentral is "bacterial SSU rRNA". It matches the Rfam family "Bacterial small subunit ribosomal RNA", at positions 28 to 507 of the family's 1533-position model. The record is from RNAcentral.